Molecule: long non-coding RNA, 382 nt
Organism: Capsicum annuum
Lineage: Eukaryota; Viridiplantae; Streptophyta; Magnoliopsida; Solanales; Solanaceae
Exons: 3
Source: RefSeq, a predicted model, not a curated record
GAUUUAUACUAUAACAUAGCACAAUUAGCACCAUAUUUUUUCUUAUUCUAAUUUUUUUUCCUUGUGCAGCACAUUCAAUUUAUCCAUGAAUCCUAACAGCAACACAUUGAAAUCUAUCAUUCGCCCAAUUGUUUUUGCUCCUGUUUAUGGGGUUGCUGCUGCGGUUGCUGGUUACGUUUGGGUCGGAACAGCACUAUUGUGGAGAGGUCGAUGUUUUGCUCGUCACCCAGGGGAACAACGGAGCUAGCCGAUCUUCUGUACUGAACUUCUAUCGAGGUCACGCUUAGGAACUAAAUCUAGAAUGACUUUUUGUCCUGUCAAAAUGAUAAAGUUGUGGAGAGGAUGCGGUAAGUGACUAAUCAGUGUUUUUGUAUCACUCUAU